GAGGAUAUAGCUCAAGUGGUAGAGCACAUGCUUAGCAUGCAUGAGGUCCUGGGUUCAAUCCCCAGUACCUCCU
Transfer RNA from Camelus ferus (Wild Bactrian camel), 73 nucleotides. It matches the Rfam family "tRNA". Rfam says of the family: Transfer RNA (tRNA) molecules are approximately 80 nucleotides in length. Their secondary structure includes four short double-helical elements and three loops (D, anti-codon, and T loops). Lineage: Eukaryota; Metazoa; Chordata; Mammalia; Artiodactyla; Camelidae. The record is from Rfam.